GACGAACGCUGGCGGCGUGCUUAACACAUGCAAGUCGAACGGAAAGGCCCUGCUUUUGUGGGGUGCUCGAGUGGCGAACGGGUGAGUAACACGUGAGUAACCUGCCCUUGACUUUGGGAUAACUUCAGGAAACUGGGGCUAAUACCGGAUAGGAGCUCCUGCUGCAUGGUGGGGGUUGGAAAGUUUCGGCGGUUGGGGAUGGACUCGCGGCUUAUCAGCUUGUUGGUGGGGUAGUGGCUUACCAAGGCUUUGACGGGUAGCCGGCCUGAGAGGGUGACCGGCCACAUUGGGACUGAUACGGCCCAGACUCCUACGGGAGGCAGCAGUGGGGAAUAUUGCACAAUGGGCGGAAGCCUGAUGCAGCAACGCCGCGUGCGGGAUGACGGCCUUCGGGUUGUAAACCGCUUUCGCCUGUGACGAAGCGUGAGUGACGGUAAUGGGUAAAGAAGCACCGGCUAACUACGUG
Molecule: ribosomal RNA, 466 nt
Filed under: uncultured bacterium
Lineage: Bacteria
Description: partial 16S ribosomal RNA
Rfam family: Bacterial small subunit ribosomal RNA
Source: RNAcentral